This 253-nucleotide ribosomal RNA is filed under the name uncultured bacterium. RNAcentral describes it as "partial 16S ribosomal RNA". It matches the Rfam family "Bacterial small subunit ribosomal RNA", at positions 524 to 776 of the family's 1533-position model. The record is from RNAcentral.
UACAGAGGUGUCAAACGUUGUCCGGAAUUACUGGGCAUAAAGCGCACGUAGGCGGUCCGUUAAGUCAUGUGUGAAAUCCCCCGGCUCAACCGGGGAAUUGCGCCUGAUACUGGCGGGCUAGAGGUCGAUAGGGGUGAGUGGAACUCCAGGUGGAGCGGUGAAAUGCGUAGAUAUCUGGAGGAACACCGGUGGCGAAAGCGGCUCACUGGAUCGAAACUGACGCUGAGGUGCGAAAGCGUGGGGAGCAAACAGG